UAGCUCAGUGGUAGAGCGUUUGCCUUGCAUGCAUGAGGCCCUGGGUUCGAUUCCUCAG
RNAcentral lists this transfer RNA (58 nucleotides) under Dipodomys ordii (Ord's kangaroo rat). It matches the Rfam family "tRNA", at positions 8 to 63 of the family's 71-position model. From Rfam's summary of the family: Transfer RNA (tRNA) molecules are approximately 80 nucleotides in length. Lineage: Eukaryota; Metazoa; Chordata; Mammalia; Rodentia; Heteromyidae. The record is from Rfam by way of RNAcentral.